UGGUGUGCCAGGGAUUGAACCGA
Molecule: non-coding RNA, 23 nt
Filed under: Rattus norvegicus (Norway rat)
Lineage: Eukaryota; Metazoa; Chordata; Mammalia; Rodentia; Muridae
Source: RNAcentral